This 375-nucleotide ribosomal RNA is filed under the name uncultured Glomeromycotina. RNAcentral describes it as "LSU rRNA". Lineage: Eukaryota; Fungi; Glomeromycota. The record is from RNAcentral.
UUGAAAGGGAAACGAUUGAAGUCAGUCAUACCAACGGGAAAUCAACCUUUUGAGCUCGGUCUCGUGGGUUUUGAAGAGUUUCAAAGCCUUCAGAUUCGCGGGAUUGGGAUCUCUUGGUGUACUUUUUCGUACGGUUAGUCAACAUCGGUUUUGAAUGUCAUAAAAUGACUGGAGGAAUGUAGCUUCGAUCUCGUAUUGAAGUGUUAUAGCCUUUGGUAGAUGUGAUGUUUGAGACCGAGGAUUGCAACGGAUACCCUUCAGGGCUAUUCGUCUGAUCUCUGAUACGUUGCCUUGAUGUUGAAAGCUUGCUUAUGAUUUUGGGGUAUUACGGUCAAAAGGUUAGAACGAAUUACAUUCGUUAAGGAUGUUGACGUA